AUUGAACGCUGGCGGCAUGCCUUACACAUGCAAGUCGAACGGCAGCACGGGAGCAAUCCUGGUGGCGAGUGGCGAACGGGUGAGUAAUAUAUCGGAACGUGCCCAGUCGUGGGGGAUAACGUAGCGAAAGCUACGCUAAUACCGCAUACGAUCUAUGGAUGAAAGCGGGGGAUCGCAAGACCUCGCGCGAUUGGAGCGGCCGAUAUCAGAUUAGGUAGUUGGUGGGGUAAAAGCCUACCAAGCCUUCGAUCUGUAGCUGGUCUGAGAGGACGACCAGCCACACUGGAACUGAGACACGGUCCAGACUCCUACGGGAGGCAGCAGUGGGGAAUUUUGGACAAUGGGCGCAAGCCUGAUCCAGCAAUGCCGCGUGCAGGAUGAAGGCCUCGGUU
This 392-nucleotide ribosomal RNA is filed under the name uncultured bacterium. RNAcentral describes it as "bacterial SSU rRNA". It matches the Rfam family "Bacterial small subunit ribosomal RNA", at positions 30 to 424 of the family's 1533-position model. The record is from RNAcentral.